RNAcentral lists this unclassified non-coding RNA (498 nucleotides) under uncultured Glomus. RNAcentral's name for it is "SSU rRNA". It matches the Rfam family "Eukaryotic small subunit ribosomal RNA", at positions 591 to 1092 of the family's 1831-position model. Lineage: Eukaryota; Fungi; Glomeromycota; Glomeromycetes; Glomerales; Glomeraceae. The record is from RNAcentral.
CCAAUAGCGUAUAUUAAAGUUGCUGCAGUUAAAAAGCUCGUAGUUGAAUUUCGGGAUCAAUAUGUUGGUCGUGCCUUGGUACGUACUAGCUUAUUGAUUUCUUCCUUCUGACGAACCAUGAUGUCAUUAAUUUGGUGUCUUGGGGAAUCAGGACUGUUACUUUGAAAAAAUUAGAGUGUUUAAAGCAGGCUCACGCUUGAAUACAUUAGCAUGGAAUAAUGAAAUAGGACGUUUGAUUCUAUUUUGUUGGUUUCUAGGAUCGACGUAAUGAUUAAUAGGGAUAGUUGGGGGCAUUAGUAUUCAAUUGUCAGAGGUGAAAUUCUUGGAUUUAUUGAAGACUAACUACUGCGAAAGCAUUUGCCAAGGAUGUUUUCAUUAAUCAAGAACGAAAGUUAGGGGAUCGAAGACGAUCAGAUACCGUCGUAGUCUUAACCAUAAACUAUGCCGACUAGGGAUCGGAUGAUGUUAAUUUUUUAAUGACUCAUUCGGCGCCUUACG